CCUACGGGAGGCUGCAGUGGGGAAUAUUGGACAAUGGGGGCAACCCUGAUCCAGCCAUGCCGCGUGGGUGAAGAAGGCCCUCGGGUGGUAAAGCACUUUCAGUGAGGAAGAACGCCUGGUGGUUAAUACCCAUCAGGAAAGACAUCACUCACAGAAGAAGCACCGGCUAACUCCGUGCCAGCAGCCGCGGUAAUACGGAGGGUGCGAGCGUUAAUCGGAAUUACUGGGCGUAAAGCGCGCGUAGGUGGCUUGAUAAGCCGGUUGUGAAAGCCCCGGGCUCAACCUGGGAACGGCAUCCGGACCUGUCAAGCUAGAGUGCAGGAGAGGAAGGUAGAAUUCCCGGUGUAGCGGUGAAAUGCGUAGAGAUCGGGAGGAAUACCAGUGGCGAAGGCGGCCUUCUGGACUGACACUGACACUGAGGUGCGAAAGCGUGGGUAGCAAACAGGAUUAGAUACCCGAGUAGUC
Molecule: ribosomal RNA, 465 nt
Filed under: Vreelandella stevensii
Lineage: Bacteria; Pseudomonadati; Pseudomonadota; Gammaproteobacteria; Oceanospirillales; Halomonadaceae
Description: partial 16S ribosomal RNA
Rfam family: Bacterial small subunit ribosomal RNA
Source: RNAcentral